This 410-nucleotide ribosomal RNA is filed under the name uncultured bacterium. Its description in RNAcentral is "bacterial SSU rRNA". It matches the Rfam family "Bacterial small subunit ribosomal RNA", at positions 119 to 545 of the family's 1533-position model. The record is from RNAcentral.
GAGGAACCUGCCUUUCAGAGGGGGACAACAGUUGGAAACGACUGCUAAUACCGCAUGAAGCAGCGAGGGGACAUCCCCUUGCUGUCAAAGAUUUAUCGCUGAAAGAUGGCCUCGCGUCUGAUUAGCUAGUUGGUGGGGUAACGGCCCACCAAGGCGACGAUCAGUAGCCGGACUGAGAGGUUGACCGGCCACAUUGGGACCGAGAUACGGCCCAGACUCCUACGGGAGGCAGCAGUGGGGAAUAUUGGGCAAUGGACGCAAGUCUGACCCAGCAACGCCGCGUGAAGGAAGAAGGCUUUCGGGUUGUAAACUUCUUUUAACAGGGAAGAGAAGAAGACGGUACCUGUUGAAUAAGCCACGGCUAACUACGUGCCAGCAGCCGCGGUAAUACGUAGGUGGCAAGCGUUGUC